This 384-nucleotide ribosomal RNA is filed under the name uncultured bacterium. Its description in RNAcentral is "bacterial SSU rRNA". It matches the Rfam family "Bacterial small subunit ribosomal RNA", at positions 30 to 417 of the family's 1533-position model. The record is from RNAcentral.
AUUGAACGCUGGCGGCAGGCCUAACACAUGCAAGUCGAGCGAGAAAGCACUUCGGUGUGAGUACAGCGGCGGACGGGUGAGUAACGCGUAGGAAUCUACCUGGUAGUGGGGGACAACAUGGGGAAACCCAUGCUAAUACCGCAUACGCCCCAAGGGGGAAAGCGGGGGAUCUUCGGACCUCGCGCUAUCAGAUGAGCCUGCGUAGGAUUAGCUUGUUGGUGAGGUAAAGGCUCACCAAGGCGACGAUCCUUAGCUGGUCUGAGAGGAUGAUCAGCCACACUGGAACUGAGACACGGUCCAGACUCCUACGGGAGGCAGCAGUGGGGAAUAUUGCGCAAUGGGCGAAAGCCUGACGCAGCCAUGCCGCGUGUGUGAAGAAGGCCU